Molecule: ribosomal RNA, 92 nt
Filed under: Salmonella enterica
Lineage: Bacteria; Pseudomonadati; Pseudomonadota; Gammaproteobacteria; Enterobacterales; Enterobacteriaceae
Also listed under: 1 other name
Description: partial 16S ribosomal RNA
Rfam family: Bacterial small subunit ribosomal RNA
Source: RNAcentral
AAAUUGAAGAGUUUAAUCAUGGCUCAGAUUGAACGCUGGCGGCAGGCCUAACACAUGCAAGUCGAACGGUAGCACAGAGAGCUUGCUCUCGG